GAACACUGUUUUAUGCGGUUGAAGUAGUAGGUGGAAGAACUAAAAUAUUUGUAUAUUUUCAAUUGAAUAAAUUAGAUUUUCUGCCUGCAACUUCGAUUCGCAACGACCCCUGUUUA
Molecule: non-coding RNA, 116 nt
Filed under: Drosophila pseudoobscura
Lineage: Eukaryota; Metazoa; Arthropoda; Insecta; Diptera; Drosophilidae
Also listed under: 1 other name
Source: miRBase by way of RNAcentral